Molecule: unclassified non-coding RNA, 294 nt
Filed under: uncultured fungus
Lineage: Eukaryota; Fungi
Description: partial contains small subunit ribosomal RNA, internal transcribed spacer 1, and 5.8S ribosomal RNA
Rfam family: Eukaryotic small subunit ribosomal RNA (bases 1-73)
Source: RNAcentral
UCAAACUUGGUCAUUUAGAGGAAGUGAAAGUCGUAACAAGGUUUCCGUAAUUGAACCUGCGGAAGGAUCAUUAAAAAAUUUUGAACCAAUUUUAUGGAUCAAAAAAUCCAUAAUCCACCUUGUGUGCACCUAUUGAUUUUUGGGAGAUGGCCUUCAGAUUUUUGAAGUCAUCUCCCAGAGGGUUAAUCUAAAUACACAAUUUUUUUUUUUGACUUAAAAUUUUAUAUGCAAAAAUAAUAAUAAACAACUUUCAACAACGGAUCUCUUGGCUCUCGCAUCGAUGAAGAACGCAGC